This 492-nucleotide ribosomal RNA is filed under the name uncultured bacterium. RNAcentral's name for it is "partial 16S ribosomal RNA". It matches the Rfam family "Bacterial small subunit ribosomal RNA", at positions 29 to 507 of the family's 1533-position model. The record is from RNAcentral.
AGUGAACGCUGGCGGUAGGCCUAACACAUGCAAGUCGAACGGCAGCACAGUAAGAGCUUGCUCUUACGGGUGGCGAGUGGCGGACGGGUGAGGAAUACAUCGGAAUCUACUUUUUCGUGGGGGUUAACGUAGGGAAACUUACGCUAAUACCGCAUACGACCUACGGGUGAAAGCAGGGGAUCUUCGGACCUUGCGCGAUUGAAUGAGCCGAUGCGGGAUUAGCUAGUUGGCGGGGUAAAGGCCCACCAAGGCGACGAUCCGUAGCUGGUCUGAGAGGAUGGUCGGCCACACUGGAACGGAGACACGGUCCAGGCUCCUACGGGAGGCAGCAGUGGGGAAUGGUAGACAGUGGGCGCAAGCCUGAUCCAGCCAUACCGCGUGGGUGAAAGAGGCCUUCGGGUUGUAAAGCCCUUUUGUUGGGAAAGAAAAGCAGCAGGUUAAUACCACGCUGUUCUGACGGUACCCAAAGAAUAAGCACCGGCUAACUUCGUG